AAACCGGCCCUUUUAAGGGCCACAUACAUCGAAGAUCAACGUAUU
This is a non-coding RNA of Oikopleura dioica, 45 nucleotides long. NCBI's taxonomy places the organism in Eukaryota, Metazoa, Chordata, Appendicularia, Copelata, Oikopleuridae. The record is from Rfam.